Molecule: long non-coding RNA, 1480 nt
Filed under: Equus caballus (horse)
Lineage: Eukaryota; Metazoa; Chordata; Mammalia; Perissodactyla; Equidae
Description: lncRNA (ENSECAG00000054039.1)
Source: RNAcentral
UUUCAAAACUUAGCUAUUUUCAUCUCAAAAGAGUAUCAUAGUAGACACUUUUUGGGGGCUUUUGUAAAAUAAUGCACGUAAAAUGCUUGGCUUAGUGCACAUGGUAAUUACUCAACAAAUGCUCCGAUUGGACACUGAUCAUCAUUACUGUUGUUAUCUUUGGAUGGUGCUGUUGUUCUCUUCUGAAAUUUCCUUUUUCUUUUGUUGAAUGCCUCAGCACUCUUGCAGUACAUGAAGCAAUUUCUCUGAUCUGGGGUAUUUUCUCACCAGUCUCUAUUUUAUUAUUAGUUUCCAUACAGGUAAAAUUGCUGUUCUCCACAGCACUCCAAAUCUACACGCCUUGGAGAGCCCGUUUCCAUCCCUUCAGAAAGCAUCAAGAGGAGAGGAGGAAGCUUUUGGAGUUCAGGCCAGAGUCCCAGAAGCGUUUUGGUGACAGGGGAUUAAACAUGUGCUGUGCUUAAUCCAGGAAGUAGAGACUCGACACAUGGAUAAUUAUGGUCUGACUGCGGAACAGAAGCUCACCCAUUGCUGUAGUAUGGGGGCUCUCCAGCCUUUCAGCUGCUUCAUCCUCAGAGCAAUCUGGAAAGUAGACUCCUUGGGAGACUGUUGAGCUCUGCAGUGUGCUGUAAUGUCCAGGGAACAGCUCCUGAUUGUAAGAGAUGUAUCAUCCAGUGAAGGAGACAGGGAUGCAUCCCACUAAAUUUAAUAAUAGUAAUGAUAAUUAUCUCUAACCCUCCUUGAACACUUACUUGCCCUAGCCCCAGCUCUGUUCUAAGCUCCUUAAAUGUAUUAACUCAUUUAAUCCUCAUAUAAAGCAUAGCAUAAGAAGGGAAAAUACUAUUCAUUUAGUUAGAAGAGAGAAAUGCUUUAUCCUGAAUGGGGAGCUUAAGAAGCCUUCAAGAACUGUUGUCACAGGGCAGAAGCUCACAGGCUAAAGGGAAGAUCUUUCCAAACCUGACUUCAUAAGACAGGUGGUGUGGGCUGGAGUCCUCCAGUUACACAUGGUAGUUCCUGUUCCUCUCAGGGUUGCUGACUGCCUGGCACAUCAGACUUUCUCUGGUGGUGGGCACUGAGGAAUGUGAAGUUUGAGAACCGUUGGUAGCUAAGGUGAACAUGAAAAAAAACAGGCCACUCAGUUCUCCUGCUUAGGGAAAAGUAGUUGACCCAUAGUCUGAGCUGCUAGCUCUGUGUCAUUGCCCUGUUUGAGUGGAGGCCAGCUUCCCAUGGCCAAUGACUAAGCAUGGCAGGCAUAAGAAGGCAGACCCGUUUCUGUGAGACAGGCAACUUUGGCUCCAGGAUUCCUCCAAAGCAUAGCUGAAACUUUCCUAGAACCACAUGCAGCAUAGCCAACCCACACUCCUUCCCCGUCUCCUUCAGAGGGUCAGACCUACAUCAUAUUGCAAAGGUUUUUCCCACCUCUUCUGGCUCCCUCCCCUUAGUCCCUUCUGGCUUUUCUCCCAAUAAAUAUCUUGUACAUCUG